RNAcentral lists this ribosomal RNA (510 nucleotides) under uncultured Methanosaeta sp. RNAcentral's name for it is "bacterial SSU rRNA". It matches the Rfam family "Archaeal small subunit ribosomal RNA", at positions 389 to 899 of the family's 1478-position model. Lineage: Archaea; Methanobacteriati; Methanobacteriota; Methanomicrobia; Methanotrichales; Methanotrichaceae. The record is from RNAcentral.
CAGGUUACAAAUCUGGCUGUCGAGAUGCCUAAAAAGCAUUUCAUAGCAAGGGCCGGGCAAGACCGGUGCCAGCCGCCGCGGUAACACCGGCGGCUCGAGUGGUAACCGUUAUUAUUGGGUCUAAAGGGUCUGUAGCCGGCCGGAUAAGUCUCUUGAGAAAUCCGGCAGCUUAACUGUUGGGCUUUCAGGAGAUACUGUCUGGCUCGAGGCCGGGAGAGGUGAGAGGUACUUCAGGGGUAGGGGUGAAAUCUUGUAAUCCUUGAAGGACCACCAGUGGCGAAGGCGUCUCACCAGAACGGACCUGACGGCAAGGGACGAAAGCUAGGGGCACGAACCGGAUUAGAUACCCGGGUAGUCCUAGCCGUAAACGAUACUCGCUAGGUGUCGGCCACGGUGCGACCGUUGUCGGUGCCGUAGGGAAGCCGUGAAGCGAGCCACCUGGGAAGUACGGCCGCAAGGCUGAAACUUAAAGGAAUUGGCGGGGGAGCACCACAACGGGUGGAGCUUGCG